AUGAACGCUGGCGGCGUGCCUAAUACAUGCAAGUCGAGCGAACGGACGAGAAGCUUGCUUCUCUGAUGUUAGCGGCGGGCGGGUGAGUAACACGUGGAUAACCUACCUAUAAGACUGGGAUAACUUCGGGAAACCGGAGCUAAUACCGGAUAAUAUUUUGAACCGCAUGGUUCAAAAGUGAAAGACGGUCUUGCUGUCACUUAUAGAUGGAUCCGCGCUGCAUUAGCUAGUUGGUAAGGUAACGGCUUACCAAGGCAACGAUGCAUAGCCGACCUGAGAGGGUGAUCGUCCACACUUGAACUGCGACACGGUCCAGACUCCUACGGGAGGCUGUAGUAUGGAAUCUUCCGCAAUGGGCGAAAGCCUGACGGAGCAACGCCGCGUGAGUGAUGAAGGUCUUCUGAUCGUAAAACUCUGUUAUUAGUGAAGAACAUAUGUGUAAGUAACUGUGCACAUCUUGACGGUACCUAAUCAGAAAGCCACGGCUAACUACGUG
RNAcentral lists this ribosomal RNA (496 nucleotides) under uncultured bacterium. Its description in RNAcentral is "partial 16S ribosomal RNA". It matches the Rfam family "Bacterial small subunit ribosomal RNA", at positions 29 to 507 of the family's 1533-position model. The record is from RNAcentral.